AUGUGAAUAGAAGGAGAGAUUGUUUAGCACUCCCCUGAACAAGGACGGAUGUACUCAGGUGGACACAGAAGUCCUCCAAGGCUCCAUUUUUUU
RNAcentral lists this non-coding RNA (93 nucleotides) under Intoshia linei. The record is from RNAcentral. Lineage: Eukaryota; Metazoa; Orthonectida; Rhopaluridae.